CAUGCAGUCGAGCGGAACGAGUUAUCUGAACCUUCGGGGAACGAUAACGGCGUCGAGCGGCGGACGGGUGAGUAAUGCCUAGGAAAUUGCCCUGAUGUGGGGGAUAACCAUUGGAAACGAUGGCUAAUACCGCAUAAUACCUWCGGGUCAAAGAGGGGGACCUUCGGGCCUCUCGCGUCAGGAUAUGCCUAGGUGGGAUUAGCUAGUUGGUGAGGUAAUGGCUCACCAAGGCGACGAUCCCUAGCUGGUCUGAGAGGAUGAUCAGCCACACUGGAACUGAGACACGGUCCAGACUCCUACGGGAGGCAGCAGUGGGGAAUAUUGCACAAUGGGCGCAAGCCUGAUGCAGCCAUGCCGCGUGUGUGAAGAAGGCCUUCGGGUUGUAAAGCACUUUCAGUCGUGAGGAAGGURGUGUUGUUAAUAGCACUAUCAUUUGACGUUAGCGACAGAAGAAGCACCGGCUAACUCCGUGCCAGCAGCCGCGGUAAUACGGAGGGUGCGAGCGUUAAUCGGAAUUACUGGGCGUAAAGCGCAUGCAGGUGGUUUGUUAAGUCAGAUGUGAAAGCCCGGGGCUCAACCUCGGAAUAGCAUUUGAAACUGGCAGACUAGAGUACUGUAGAGGGGGGUAGAAUUUCAGGUGUAGCGGUGAAAUGCGUAGAGAUCUGAAGGAAUACCGGUGGCGAAGGCGGCCCCCUGGACAGAUACUGACACUCAGAUGCGAAAGCGUGGGAGCAAACAGGAUUAGAUACCCUGGUAGUCCACGCCGUAAACGAUGUCUACUUGGAGGUUGUGGCCUUGAGCCGUGGCUUUCGGAGCUAACGCGUUAAGUAGACCGCCUGGGGAGUACGGUCGCAAGAUUAAAACUCAAAUGAAUUGACGGGGGCCCGCACAAGCGGUGGAGCAUGUGGUUUAAUUCGAUGCAACGCGAAGAACCUUACCUACUCUUGACAUCCAGAGAACUUUCCAGAGAUGGAUUGGUGCCUUCGGGAACUCUGAGACAGGUGCUGCAUGGCUGUCGUCAGCUCGUGUUGUGAAAUGUUGGGUUAAGUCCCGCAACGAGCGCAACCCUUAUCCUUGUUUGCCAGCACUUCGGGUGGGAACUCCAGGGAGACUGCCGGUGAUAAACCGGAGGAAGGUG
RNAcentral lists this ribosomal RNA (1138 nucleotides) under Vibrio sp. H2C. RNAcentral describes it as "bacterial SSU rRNA". It matches the Rfam family "Bacterial small subunit ribosomal RNA", at positions 54 to 1175 of the family's 1533-position model. The record is from RNAcentral. Lineage: Bacteria; Pseudomonadati; Pseudomonadota; Gammaproteobacteria; Vibrionales; Vibrionaceae.